RNAcentral lists this ribosomal RNA (1453 nucleotides) under bacterium. Its description in RNAcentral is "bacterial SSU rRNA". It matches the Rfam family "Bacterial small subunit ribosomal RNA". The record is from RNAcentral.
UUUUUUGAGAGUUUGAUCCUAGCUCAGGAUGAACGCUGGCGGCGUGGAUAAGGCAUGCAAGUCAAGGGGGAACGUAACGUUUUGCGCAAGCAAAAUUGUACGUUCAACCGGCAGACGGGUUAGUAACACGUAGAUACAAACCCUUUACACAGGCAUAAUCUCGCGAAAGCGGGGCUAAUUCCUGAUAGUCCGAACGCAUAAAUUAUGUGUUCGGUAAAGGUAUAGAGCAAUCUAUGUCGGUAAAGGAUUGGUCUGCGCUUUAUCAGCUAGUUGGUAGGGUAAUGGCCUACCAAGGCGAUGACGGAUAGGCGGUGUGAGAGCAUGACCGCCAACAAUGGGACUGAAACAUGGCCCAUACUCCUACGGGAGGCAGCAGUCGAGAAUAUUGGUCAAUGGGGGAAACCCUGAACCAGCGACGCCGCGUGCUCGAAGAAGUCCUUCGGGAUGUAAAGAGCUUUUCUGGAGGAAGAAUUCGCCGCAAGGCGAAUGACGGUACUCCAGGAAUAAGGGGUGACUAAACUCGUGCCAGCAGUAGCGGUAAUACGAGUACCCCAAGCGUUAUCCGGAUUUAUUGGGCGUAAAGAGUCUGUAGGCGGUCUAGAAAGUCUCUGGUUAAAGGCCUAGGGCUUAACCUUAGGAAUGCUAGAGAAACUUCUGGACUAGAGGGCGUUAGAGGCUGGUGGAACGGUCGGUGUAGGGGUGAAAUCCGUUGAUAUCGACCAGAACACUCAAAGCGAAGGCAUCCAGCUGGGGCGACCCUGACGCUGAGAGACGAAAGCGUAGGUAGCAAAAAGGAUUAGAUACCCUUGUAGUCUACGCUGUAAACGAUGGAUACUGGCUAUCUGAAGUGUCGACCCUUCAGGUGGCGAAGCAAACGCGUUAAGUAUCCCGCCUGGGAAGUACGGCCGCAAGGCUAAAACUCAAAGGAAUAGACGGGGAUUCACACAAGCGGUGGACCAUGUGGCUCAAUUCGACAACAAGCGAGGAACCUUACCAGGGCUUGAAAGGCUAGUGAAAUCUCGUAGAAAUACGGGACUACCCACAAGGACACUAGCCCAGGUGCUGCACGGCUGUCGUCAGCUCGUACUUUGAAGCGUAUGCUUAAGUGCAACAACGAGCGCAACCCCUAUUCUGCGUUAUAAGUGUCGCGGAAAACUGCCUGGGACAACCAGGAGGAAGGUGGGGAUAACGCCAAGUCAGCGUGGCCCUUUGAUGUCCUGGGCUGCACACGUGGUACAAUGGGACCGACAAUGGGUUGCAAAGCAGCAAUGCGGAGCUAAUCCCAUCAAACGGUCUCUCAGUUCGGAUUGAGGUCUGCAACUCGACCUCAUGAAGCCGGAAUCGCUAGUAAUCGCGCAUCAGCCACGGCGCGAUGAAUAUGUUCCUGAAUCUUGUACUCACAAUAAACGCGCCCGGCAGAUAUAAAAACUAAAGAGUUAAAAUCUCUUCCUCC